GGAGGGGGCCAGCGUUGUUCGGAAUCAUUGGGCGUAAAGGGCGCGUAGGCGGCUUGGUAAGUCGGACGUGAAAUCCCCCAGCUUAACUGGGGAACUGCAUCCGAUACUGCCAGGCUUGAGUCCCGGAGAGGGCAGUGGAAUUCCCAGUGUAGCGGUGAAAUGCGUAGAUAUUGGGAGGAACACCGGUGGCGAAGGCGGCUGCCUGGACGGGUACUGACGCUGAGGCGCGAAAGCGUGGGGAGCAAACAGGAUUAGAUACCCUGGUAGUCCACGCUGUAAACGAUGGGCACUUGGUGUUGCGGGUAUCGACCCCUGCAGUGCCGAAGCUAACGCAUUAAGUGCCCCGCCUGGGGAGUACGGUCGCAAGGCUG
Molecule: ribosomal RNA, 371 nt
Filed under: uncultured bacterium
Lineage: Bacteria
Description: bacterial SSU rRNA
Rfam family: Bacterial small subunit ribosomal RNA
Source: RNAcentral